This 339-nucleotide long non-coding RNA is filed under the name Homo sapiens (human). RNAcentral's name for it is "HSALNT0079495". Lineage: Eukaryota; Metazoa; Chordata; Mammalia; Primates; Hominidae. The record is from RNAcentral.
UUCUUACCUCUUCUCGAGCUUCUCUGAAGGAUGAAUUUAAAGUUCUUCCUCUCCUAGGAAGGGAAGACUUGGUGGUGUCUUCCUGCUGCCCAAAGAGCUCCUCAAUGGUCUUUGUAUCAAUUUGGUAGUGAUGUUCCUGCCUGGCUGCCAAGGUCCAGAUGUUGGUUUUGCCUCGAACUUGCUCCUCCGGAAUAGUUUUCCAAAAAAAGCUUCUCAUCCGCUUUUUCUUACCAAGGUGGCUGUAGCCGUUCAGGAGACACAAUUCAUAACAUGCAUAGUACUGUUGCCUCCUAUGGAGAUAAUUUCUUGGCCUUGGAGAAGAAGACACAAACAUCAAAC